Mustela erminea (ermine) is the source of this 93-nucleotide long non-coding RNA. RefSeq lists it as uncharacterized. Lineage: Eukaryota; Metazoa; Chordata; Mammalia; Carnivora; Mustelidae. The transcript is spliced from 3 exons. The record is from RefSeq and is a predicted model, not a curated record.
CAUAGAGAUGGCCCACAGACACAUAAAAACAUGCUUAACAUUAAUCAUCAAGGAAGUGAAAAUCAAAACCAUAAUGAAAUAACCACCACAGAA